AUUUCUAAAUCGCUGAAUCCGUUUGGAACGGGGGAACCAACUUUGUGGAGGCAAUCCACUUGGGGUGAGGCCUAAUAAUAGGCGGGGCUAUUCUGAGCCCUAAUCCGACAGCUAACUCCGUAAGCGUUGCAGAAGAGGAAGA
Molecule: small RNA, 142 nt
Filed under: Mesobacillus selenatarsenatis
Lineage: Bacteria; Bacillati; Bacillota; Bacilli; Caryophanales; Bacillaceae
Also listed under: 1 other name
Description: Bacillus selenatarsenatis c-di-AMP sequence
Rfam family: c-di-AMP riboswitch aptamer (ydaO/yuaA leader)
About the family: This family represents a conserved RNA structure found upstream of the ydaO and yuaA genes in Bacillus subtilis and related genes in other bacteria.
Source: RNAcentral